Non-coding RNA from Cinara cedri, 223 nucleotides. The record is from the annotation of a GenBank genome assembly. NCBI's taxonomy places the organism in Eukaryota, Metazoa, Arthropoda, Insecta, Hemiptera, Aphididae.
ACAGCCCCGCGCGACGUUGCGUUUCGAAAACAUCAAUCGGCCGCGCCGCGGGGUCCGGUCCGGUCCGUCUCUUAUCGUUUAGGCGCCCGCCGUAAUGUCACUACGGACACUGUCACGUAAUGUUAUCCCUAAACUCUUCGACUUUUUGUCUUUUGUCGUCUACGGGAUAUACGCAUACGUAUAGGUAGGCAGGCGCACGCAUAGAACGGUCGACGAUUUCCGU